Molecule: long non-coding RNA, 900 nt
Organism: Artibeus jamaicensis (Jamaican fruit-eating bat)
Lineage: Eukaryota; Metazoa; Chordata; Mammalia; Chiroptera; Phyllostomidae
Exons: 3
Source: RefSeq, a predicted model, not a curated record
CCGUGGACAUUGCACCUGGGGAAGGCAAGGGCGUGUCCAAGUAAUGUAUUGUGAGGAAUCUUCCCCGAGUCACCUGAGCGGACCUGAGUUCCAGCUGAGUGCAGGGGACAGGUUCCUGGUUCUGACUCGGUUCGUCCCCUGCGAAUCGAGCUCUUCACACGGAACCUGUCCAGGACGGGCGACAGAAUUUGCCUGCAACCUAUUUCCAGCUUCCAGCUGGGUCCGCGCCAAAACAGGAAAGCCCCUGAUCCCUUGAAGGGGAAAAUAGCUCUAGCUUCAGCUGCAGGAUCGCAAAGUUCUGGGUGCAAACUUCGCUCAGAAGUUUGGGCGGCUUCAACGAGCAAAGCAACCCCUAGAGCGGAGACUCGGCUCUGCUCCGCCUGACUCCAGUGCCUACGCCAGCAGCGUGUUCGCGGUGCCAGAAAAUCCCACCUGAGAGCCUUGGCACGCUCCUUAUCAGCCCAGGUGCACGGUGUACCCCUGGCAUCUAGAGAGCUGACGCUUGAGAACCCUGCCAAAUCUUUCUUUAUAGUUCUGGAUUGCGGGGGGGCGGGGCGGUGGUGUUAACUCGGUUUCGCUUACUUAAUCGUCUUUGAAGAAAAAAGAUCACUAGAAUGCUUUCUCAAUUAAAUGAUCAGAUCUAGAAGGAAAUACCGCAGUGGGAGUUCUGCUUCUGGUGAUUUGUUGACGUGGAGUUUCUUCCAUCCAAGUUACAGCGAUUAUAGGUUCACGCUGAGUACAAUGAAGGAAGGAAGUGAAGGAAGAAACAUCUUUAAAAUCUUACUGGCAAGAGGAGAGAAAGAGAAAAGAAAUUCUGGCUAAUAAAGACUCACAUGUUUUGUGCCCAAGAAUUUUUAAAGGGUCAGACUGUAAAUAAACCCCAAAGCACUUUAAUAAAUG